RNAcentral lists this long non-coding RNA (691 nucleotides) under Olea europaea (common olive). RNAcentral's name for it is "long non-coding RNA (OEUR_LNC003485)". The record is from RNAcentral. Lineage: Eukaryota; Viridiplantae; Streptophyta; Magnoliopsida; Lamiales; Oleaceae.
CGAAAGAUUAUUAUAAGUCGAAAUUUUUUUUUGACUUACAUUGACUUAAUAGUGUUAUGAAAGAUAUGAUCGAUAAUCUAGAUUAACAUGCUUCAUAUCUAUUAAUUGAUCAGAUCACACUGACAAAUGAAUUAUAAUUUCACUGUACACGAAUAAGCUUGAUUUUGUCAUACAACAUGACAUUUUUAUAACAUGUAUUACCCUAACACAUUACUAGAUGAUAAUUUGGGACAACGUAUAAAAUUGAUGAUAAAUUAAAAAUAGGUGUUCUAAUUUAUCAAUUGUAAUUAGAUUAUAAUAAUAAUUCACGUCGUUAAACAUUCGAUCGAAAAACAUAAUGGAUCAUAUAUAAAAGGAGAACUAGAAGAAUGAUGUCAUUAAUUAAUUAAUUGAGAAAUGUUGGACAUUUGUAUAAUUAAUUAAUUAGGUUGCUUGUUAAUAGGCAAAGUUGAUUAAUUUAAUUAAUUUAUUUAUUGAUCAAGUUUAACUAAUUAGAUUAAUUAAGCAAAGGAUUAGAUUAAGUUUAAGUGUCGGGCGAAUCUCACUUGGGCUUCUAUUAAUAACUUCUUAAGGUUUGAAAAAUCACACAACACAAUUAUUAUUAUUAUCAGAGUUUCUAUCUAAACACAAAAUAGAUCCUUGAGUGGAAUUGAAAUUAUCUUAUUUUUUGCUAAACAUGAUUAAAUAAAUU